UACGGAGGGUGCAAACGUUGCUCGGAAUUAUUGGGCGUAAAGCGUGCGUAGGCGGUCCGGCAAGUCGGAUGUGAAAGCCCUCGGCUUAACCGAGGAAGUGCAUUCGAAACUACCGGACUUGAAUACCGGAGAGGGUGACGGAAUUCCCGGUGUAGAGGUGAAAUUCGUAGAUAUCGGGAGGAACACCAGUGGCGAAGGCGGUCACCUGGACGGAUAUUGACGCUGAGGCACGAAAGCGUGGGGAGCAAACAGG
RNAcentral lists this ribosomal RNA (253 nucleotides) under uncultured bacterium. RNAcentral's name for it is "partial 16S ribosomal RNA". It matches the Rfam family "Bacterial small subunit ribosomal RNA", at positions 524 to 776 of the family's 1533-position model. The record is from RNAcentral.